CCUACGGGGGGCUGCAGUGAGGAAUAUUGGUCAAUGGCCGUAAGCCUGAACCAGCCAAGUAGCGUGAGGGAAGACUGCCCUAUGGGUUGUAAACCUCUUUUAUGCGGGGAUAAAGGUGUCCACGUGUGGAUGUUUGCAGGUACCGCAAGAAGAAGGAACGGCUAAUUACGUGCCAGCAGCCGCGGUAAUACGGAGGGUCCGGGCGUUAUCCGGAUUUAUUGGGUUUAAAGGGAGCGGUGGCGGGUCGUGAAGGUUGCCGUGAAAGUUGGGGGCUUAACCAUGGAAGUGCGGCGGAAACUGGAGACCUUGAGUGCGCGAGAGGCAGGCGGAAUUCGUGGUGUAGCGGUGAAAUGCUUAGAUAUCACGAAGAACCCCGGUGGCGAAGGCAGCCUGCCGGAGCGUUACUGACGCUGAGGCUCGAAAGCGCGGGUAUCGAACAGGAUUAGAUACCCCAGUAGUC
Molecule: ribosomal RNA, 460 nt
Filed under: uncultured bacterium
Lineage: Bacteria
Description: partial 16S ribosomal RNA
Rfam family: Bacterial small subunit ribosomal RNA
Source: RNAcentral